This 279-nucleotide ribosomal RNA is filed under the name uncultured bacterium. RNAcentral describes it as "partial 16S ribosomal RNA". It matches the Rfam family "Bacterial small subunit ribosomal RNA", at positions 506 to 784 of the family's 1533-position model. The record is from RNAcentral.
UGCCAGCCGCCGCGGUAAUACUGGGGGAGCGAGCGUUGUUCGGAAUCACUGGGCGUAAAGCGUGCGCAGGCGGAUUGGAAAGUCAGACGUGAAAUCCCAAGGCUCAACCUUGGAACUGCGUUUGAAACUUCCUUUCUAGAGUAUGGUAGAGGUUGGAAGAAUUCCUAGUGUAGAGGUGAAAUUCGUAGAUAUUAGAAGGAACAUCAGAGGCGAAGGCGGCUUUCUGGUCCGAUACUGACGCUGAGGUACGAAAGCGUGGGGAGCAAACAGGAUUAGAUA